RNAcentral lists this ribosomal RNA (368 nucleotides) under uncultured bacterium. Its description in RNAcentral is "bacterial SSU rRNA". It matches the Rfam family "Bacterial small subunit ribosomal RNA", at positions 28 to 396 of the family's 1533-position model. The record is from RNAcentral.
GACGAACGCUGGCGGCGUGCUUAACACAUGCAAGUCGAGCGGUAAGGCCCUUUCGGGGGUACACGAGCGGCGAACGGGUGAGUAACACGUGGGUGACCUGCCUUUAGCUCUGGGAUAAGCCUGGGAAACUGGGUCUAAUACCGGAUAUGACUCCAUGAUGCAUGUUGUGGGGUGGAAAGCCUUGUGCGGCUGGAGAUGGGCCCGCGGCCUAUCCAGCUUGUUGGUGGGGUGANGGCCUACCAAGGCGACGACGGGUAGCCGGCCUGAGAGGGCGACCGGCCACACUGGGACUGAGACACGGCCCAGACUCCUACGGGAGGCAGCAGUGGGGAAUCUUGCGCAAUGGGCGAAAGCCUGACGCAGCGACG